UUUUUUUUUUUUUUUUUUAAAGGCAAAACAAAACUUUGAAAUGUUAAACUCAGCUGGGAGUAUUUCAUAGCCUGGGAUUUGAGGACAGCAGCUGAGCAGUGGGGUUGGAACUUCUCCCUGUGGUGUGGGCACAUCCCUGGCUUGGGCUGGGGCACUUCCAGCAGUUCCCUCUGCAGUUCCUGCCCCAAGGGCCUAUCAGGAUUUGAAAAAUUGAGUUAUUUAACAGUUGUGUCCUGCAGGAGAGGUGCUGUAAGGACUCCUUGCUCAGCUGAGAUGCUGAAAUGAUGACGGGCAGGUGGCCAUCAGGCCAGUGUCCCCUGGAACUGUUCCCCCUUGCAGGAAGCCCAGCUUUGCCCUGGUGAAACCCGUCCCUGCCAAAAACCAGGGUUUGCUCUGAGCAGAACAGCUCUGCCUCCUCUGGAGCCUCAUGCAGCCCCAAAGGGAGAUUCCAGGAGGCUGUAGGUGUGGUGGGGAGCAGGAGCAGAGUCAGGCUCAGCCCCAGCUGCCUUGGCUUCCUCCAUCCCCAUCAGAGCAGCAGCGAGGGGGUCGUUCCUUUUGCUUUUUCUAGCAAAGCUCACUAACAGUUUUGAGAAGAAAGCCUAAUUCCCCACAUUGGCAUUUCCUGAGGGGAUUGGGUUUCAUUUGGAGGACUUUUGGCUUUGCUUUUCACCCUUUUGAAGUUAGUUGUUAUCAGGGUUCUGCGGUUCCUUAAUUAUUCUUCUCAGAAGCCAGGAGAAAGAGGCAUUUUUCAUCUGAAAAUAAGGCAAGAGCCCUUAUUAUUUGGCUUUUCUCCUUCGUAACUUUUAUUUAAAGACACAGAGAGAGAAGUGGGACAGCAAAAAGGGUCUUAGGGAGCAAAAUGAGACAUUAAGACCAAAUAAACACCAAUUCUUCAGCAGCAGGAUAGGAAAUGUGUAUUUCUCUUCCAUUUUCUCCUGUUCAGGAGAGAGGGGGGAAGGCUUUGCUAACACAUUCAAAUGAAUUUGAUAUUCAAUCAAUGAAGAUUAACUUGCCCAAGGUAAGAUGGUUUUUACAUUCAUAAGGAAGUCAAAUACGAUUAUGCAUAUGAGGAAAUUAUACAGAGAUGAGUAGAGUAUAAUGUAUGAUAAUUAUUUGAAAGGAUAUACUUACACACUGAUUAGCAUAUCUUGAAGACCAGACAGAGAUGGAAGAAUAGAAGGUAAAGAGAUUCCUCAAGAUGAACAAACUGUAUAAAACUCACUCCCCAAAAAUCAUAGAAGUUGGUUAGAAAUAGCAUUUUCUUACGGAUGGCAACCUUAAAAAAAAUCCCUCACAAGUUCACCUCUUGAUUAGAAAUAUUUUUUUUUAAUUAUUCAAAUCAAGCAUGUGGAACUUGGCUGAGAAUAUCCCUGUGCAGAGGAAGGAUGGACACAAAGAGAUGAAAGGGGAAGGCCAGCAGGAUAUCCACGUGCCUUUCCCAGUGUUGUGAGCCCCUCUCCCCAGAAUGAAGCAGCAGAAAUAUUUUCCCCAGGGAAGGCAGGUUCUUGAGCCCAGCACCAUUGGCUCAACUCGUUGGCAUGGUUUGGUUUUUCCUUCCUGGCUGCUGCAGUGGGAAAACAGCAUUCCCAUCUUUCCAGAGCCAAAAUAUUUCUCUGUUUUCAAAAAAAAAAGAAAAAAAUCUGUGUGAAUUUGUCAGCAGGUCCCUCGGUGUGCGGAUGUGUGCAGGGAGCAGCUGAGGUGGGGCUGGGGUUAAACACAGGGAAAAUGUUGGAGCGGGGGCAUCGAGGAUGCUGGGGCAGGAAGGAUCCUCCAGGCAAAGGGCCAGGGGACCUCUGAGCCCUUCCACCUCCCUGGGGCAGGAAAAUCCAUCCUGGAAUGAGAAUAUUCCGUGUCUGGGGGGUGCUGGGUGGUGGUGGGGAUGGAGCUCGGCAGCUCGAGGCUGUUUGGGGUGGGCAGUGGUUGCCUCUGGAAGGGGGGAUCCACACCUUGUGGGCCAGUGGGAGAUGCUCUGGCAGGGUUUGGGGUCAGGGCCCUGGUGGAUGUUUGCUUGCAGAACCCAGCCAGCGUGUCAGGAACCGUGGGUGCCGUGGGAGGUGGGCUGAGCACUGCCAGGGGCAGAUUGCUCCAGUUUUGUGGUGGUUCAGCCCCCCUGUGCAGAAUUCAUGGACUUGGAGGGACUUCUCCCAGCAGGACAGGCAGGACAGGCAGUCCUCCCUGGCACGGGGGACACGUCACCCACACCAUCACAGCGGUGUCCCUGCUCCGAGUCACCCAUUCCCAGAGCUGUGGGUGCCUCAGUGGCUGGUUCAUGAGGGGUUUGUGCCACAGCAGGUCCUGAGCACCCUUGGCCAGGGCUGUGUCCCUCCCUCUGGGGUGUGGGCUGCCGUGGCUGCCCGUUUGUGCCAUGGGGGGACAGCUGGAGCCUGAAGGACAAUCCCUGGCUGCCGCUCUCCAGCACCAAACGUGUGUGGGGAGCUUGGAGAAGGCGCUUUGCUGCACUUCUGUCAGUCUGCUGGGGUGGAAGUGGGUGUCUCAGGUGCACUGGGAGGUGUCCCAGGGCUGCAGGGGCACCCCCAGAAGAAAGCAGCACAUGGGCACAGUCAGCUGGCGCCCGUCCCAGCCCGGCAUCUGCCCCACAAAGGCCGGCAGGGAUUGCAGCCAAGGCAGGGGGCGGGGAGGGAGGGAAAGGUGAUUUUAUAGAACUUGAAUACAUUUGUCUGGCAGACAUUUCCUGGAUCCUGCUUCGGCUUUUAAGAGCAGCACUGUAAAUUCAUCAACACCACAUGAUUUUGUCAAUUCUGACAGCUAACUUCAAUGUUACGACAAAUCUGGCCCCAGAGGAUAUUAAGCAAAGACGCAUGAGCCUAUAAUUUUCUGCUUCCACGUGUGAGAUGCUAUAAUGAUCAAAAGAAAAUGACUUUCUAACUACCACAUCUCUUUGUGCUGUUUUCUCCAUGCCUGCUGCACUAAUUGAAUCACCCCAGAGCCACUGUAUCAAUUCGAACUUCUGUAUUAGGAUUUAAUCAGGCAUGGGGACAGACCAGCUUGGAGAGGUGAGGGGCCUUUGUGAGGUGCCCAUCUGCCUCUGACAUUAAAGCCGCUUCCAUUCAAUGCUGAGCAACUUCAGGGGAAUCAGGGAUGGCCGGGAAGCGAUGGGAGAUUAGCUGGGCCGUGCCUGGGAUGCUGCUCACCUCGGAGCUGGCAGGAGCUGGGCAGGGCACACGGCUUUAUCUCAGCACCAAGCUGCCUGGCAAGAAGUGGGAGAUGGUUUGCCGGGUGUGCUGAGGUCCCUUCCCAGGGGCUGAGCAGGCUGUCAUUAAAUCAGAGCCGGGAAGGGCAGAGAAAGGGGUGGAGAGCGCCGGGCUGCGAGACAAUGUCCCCGGAGCCACCGACAGACGGUGUCUCCAAAGGUUUGUUCCCCCAACUGCCACGGCAGCUGCGGGGAUGCUGCGUGCUGUGCCGUGCUGUGCCGUGCUGUGCCAUGCUGUGCCGUGCCGUGCCAGGGCCUCUGCCCACCUCCUCAGCCAACAGCGGGGCUGUGGUGGCCAUGGGCAUUCCCGGUGGGAAGGGGCAGGGCAGCAGCUGCAGCGCUGGGAUGCUCUGGUGAACCCCAUCCCCUGCAGCUCCCAUCUCGGUGGGCAGGUAGGGCCUGGUAGAGCACGUUAAUAGCCAUUUUUCACCUAAAUAAAGAGAGAGGAGUACAUUCCCUGCAGAUUUGCCCUGCGUGGGGCUGUUGUGGCCAGAGCAGGAAGGGCUUUGCUCUUCAGGGCACCAUGGGUGGGAUGGUGGGAGCCAUCCAGGGGCUGGGUACCUGCUGGAAUGAGGCAGCCUCCCUAAAUCACACACAGGAUCAGGGCACACAUCCCUUUGUCAGAGCCAGCUGUGCAAUGGGAACUGGGCAAUGGGAACUGGGCAGUGGGAACUGGGCAAUGGGAACUGGGCAAUGGGAACUGGGCAAUGGGAAUUGUGGGGUGGGAGCUGUGCAAUGGGAACUGUGCAAUGGGAAUUGUGGGGUGGGAAUUGGGCCCGUGCUGUUCCCUAUCAGUGUUCUGGCUCUGGCCCUUCUCCCAUGUUGGUGUGACAUGGGGCAGGAGUGGAUGGGGACUGGGAUGGGACGGGGUUGUUUGGCACUGAGCAGGUGGCACAGGACACCUCGCAGGUCACAUCCCUUCACAGGGACAUGGGGCUCCUCCCAACCACAGGAUCUCAGGUGGAGAUAAGCAGGAGUGCCAGAGCUUGGGGUGCUGGGGUCUGCCAGGGGACAUGGCCAGAGCUGUCCUCCUCCUCCCACCCUGCCCUGAUCAGCUUCCAAACCCCAUUAGAAUGCCUCUCAUAAACCAGGGGCUUAACUACCUGAUUAAAUCUCCCCAGCCAAAGCGGGGCAGGCACUAAUUUGAGGUUGGUUCCCAAACUAGGGAUUGUGUCGUUACUUUAUUUAAAAUGCACCGAUGAAUAGAGGCAGGCAGGGAGGAGGGUGAUUAUAUCUGCCUGCUCGGGAUUGAGGAGAAAAGAGCGGAGAGUCCCAGACCCCAGAAACAUCAAAGCCAGAACAAAAACCCUCUUUCUUUGAGAGCUGAAAACCUUCUGCUCCUGAAAGGGGCUUUAAGUGGUGGCUCUUGGUAGUUGUUUCAGGCCAACAGCAGCUUUGAGGACAGCGACAAGCCCCGGCGGUGGGGUGGGCUGGAGGGCGAGGAGGGAUGGCCAUGACUUCGGGACGAGGAGAGCGGAGCGCACACAGCCGCGCACACAGCCGGGUUUUGUUGGAAUUAAGCAGCAUGAAAUUGAGCCCAAACACGCGUCCAGGGAGGACACGAGCAGCUCAUUCCCGGGGCCGUCGGGGAACGUCGGAGCAGGGCGGCGGGAUAAAGAAAGAGCUGCACGCUCGGCUGGCUCGGGGUGCAGAUGGAGCAGAGCCCUGCCGGCCCCGCUCCUCCUCCGGGCCCUGCGCAGCCCGGCUGGAGCAGAGAGGCCAUAAAGGGACUGAGAGAGCCAUCACUCGCCCUGCCCUGAGUGACAGGCCCUUGAGUGAGGCGCCAUAUGCCGGCUCAUGCCUCCCGAAGCCGAGUUUUGUCAGCGGGCUCUGGCUGCGCAAAUUGGCACAAUUCAGCUCUCCGGCUCCUCAGCUGGUCUCCACACCCCACUUGACACGGCAGCGACCUCUCCUUUGUGGGCCCCGGCGAGAGGGGAGGGGGGACCCCGGCGUGGGCGCGGAUGAAUCGGAGGCUGCUCCCCCUCGCAUUCAGGCAGCCCUCGGAGCAGGGGAGGGGGAACAGGGAGCAAAGGUGCCCAAUUAAAUGUACAUUUAGAGCCUGUGCCGAGUAAACAGUUGAUUGCGUAUGGGGGAGGCAAAGCACCGGCACCAGCUCCGUCCUCUGUGCCGGGCAUGCCAAAAAAUGCCAACUUUGCCAUGGAAAACAUCAUCACUGCUGUAAUUCUCUCCUUUCAUCAUCCCCGUCUGAGGGGUUGGUGGG
Taeniopygia guttata (zebra finch) is the source of this 5432-nucleotide long non-coding RNA. The record is from Ensembl. NCBI's taxonomy places the organism in Eukaryota, Metazoa, Chordata, Aves, Passeriformes, Estrildidae.